ACUCUGGUAUUGAUUGGUGCUUGCAUCAUGAUUUACAUUUGAGUGAGUGGCGAACUGGUGAGUAACACGUGGGAAACCUGCCCAGAAGCGGGGGAUAACACCUGGAAACAGAUGCUAAUACCGCAUAACAACUUGGACCGCAUGGUCCGAGUUUGAAAGAUGGCUUCGGCUAUCACUUUUGGAUGGUCCCGCGGCGUAUUAGCUAGAUGGUGGGGUAACGGCUCACCAUGGCAAUGAUACGUAGCCGACCUGAGAGGGUAAUCGGCCACAUUGGGACUGAGACACGGCCCAAACUCCUACGGGAGGCAGCAGUAGGGAAUCUUCCACAAUGGACGAAAGUCUGAUGGAGCAACGCCGCGUGAGUGAAGAAGGGUUUCGGCUCGUAAAACUCUGUUGUUAAAGAAGAACAUAUCUGAGAGUAACUGUUCAGGUAUUGACGGUAUUUAACCAGAAAGCCACGGCUAACUACGUGCCAGCAGCCGCGGUAAUACGUAGGUGGCAAGCGUUGUCCGGAUUUAUUGGGCGUAAAGCGAGCGCAGGCGGUUUUUUAAGUCUGAUGUGAAAGCCUUCGGCUCAACCGAAGAAGUGCAUCGGAAACUGGGAAAACUUGAGUGCAGAAGAGGACAGUGGAACUCCAUGUGUAGCGGUGAAAUGCGUAGAUAUAUGGAAGAACACCAGUGGCGAAGGCGGCUGUCUGGUCUGUAACUGACGCUGAGGCUCGAAAGUAUGGGUAGCAAACAGGAUUAGAUACCCUGGUAGUCCAUACCGUAAACGAUGAAUGCUAAGUGUUGGAGGGUUUCCGCCCCUUUCAGUGCUGCAGCUAACGCAUUAAGCAUUCCGCCUGGGGAGUACGGCCGCAAGGCUGAAACUCAAAGGAAUUGACGGGGGCCCGCACAAGCGGUGGAGCAUGUGGUUUAAUUCGAAGCUACGCGAAGAACCUUACCAGGUCUUGACAUACUAUGCAAAUCUAAGAGAUUAGACGUUCCCUUCGGGGACAUGGAUACAGGUGGUGCAUGGUUGUCGUCAGCUCGUGUCGUGAGAUGUUGGGUUAAGUCCCGCAACGAGCGCAACCCUUAUUAUCAGUUGCCAGCAUUAAGUUGGGCACUCUGGUGAGACUGCCGGUGACAAACCGGAGGAAGGUGGGGAUGACGUCAAAUCAUCAUGCCCCUUAUGACCUGGGCUACACACGUGCUACAAUGGAUGGUACAACGAGUUGCGAACUCGCGAGAGUAAGCUAAUCUCUUAAAGCCAUUCUCAGUUCGGAUUGUAGGCUGCAACUCGCCUACAUGAAGUCGGAAUCGCUAGUAAUCGCGGAUCAGCAUGCCGCGGUGAAUACGUUCCCGGGCCUUGUACACACCGCCCGUCACACCAUGAGAGUUUGUAACACCCAAAGUCGGUGGGGUAACCUUUUA
RNAcentral lists this ribosomal RNA (1412 nucleotides) under Lactiplantibacillus pentosus. Its description in RNAcentral is "bacterial SSU rRNA". It matches the Rfam family "Bacterial small subunit ribosomal RNA", at positions 66 to 1444 of the family's 1533-position model. The record is from RNAcentral. Lineage: Bacteria; Bacillati; Bacillota; Bacilli; Lactobacillales; Lactobacillaceae.